Tympanuchus pallidicinctus (lesser prairie-chicken) is the source of this 599-nucleotide long non-coding RNA. RefSeq lists it as uncharacterized. The transcript is spliced from 5 exons. NCBI's taxonomy places the organism in Eukaryota, Metazoa, Chordata, Aves, Galliformes, Phasianidae. The record is from RefSeq and is a predicted model, not a curated record.
UGAAAGCUACUUUCUGAGAAGGAAUGCUUUAGGGACAGAGACCUUAUCAUUAGUUGUCAGGUCAUUGCUGCAUGCUUGCUGCCACUGAGAUGUUUAGUUAGACUGAGGACUUUGUUACUGGCCUUGGAAGCAUAUUUCAACACAGGAAUGGGAUUUUGACUUGGUUUAGUGAGUGAAGAUCCUCAGAGUCAGGGUAAAUUAAAGGAGCAUGGGCAGCACCUCCUACUCUUUGUAGUUUUCCACCGUAUGGGGACCACACAAGCCUGAGCAUCUCUUCUGAGGCACCUGUCAGUGGAAUAGUGCUUGUCUGAAGUAGUAGAGAAAACCAAAGGAGUCUGGAGAUGCUUUGUUUCCAACUUGGUGACAGCAUUAGGAUACAUCACAGCCAUCCCACUUGGAACUGACAUCUUUACCCAUGAGUGGAGUAACAUGUUUUCUGCAGGAACUCCUUUGAACUUUAACUACAAACUAAUUCUCCAAUCACAUGGCACACAACAGAAAGGUUUUAGCAGAAGCAUCUUGUGAAACAUAAAUAAAAAGUGGAUAUUGAAAGAGUGAGUGGAUAAAUUUAGGUAUUUCUUUGGCAUCAGGAAAUAAAU